This 464-nucleotide ribosomal RNA is filed under the name Vreelandella stevensii. Its description in RNAcentral is "partial 16S ribosomal RNA". It matches the Rfam family "Bacterial small subunit ribosomal RNA", at positions 338 to 795 of the family's 1533-position model. Lineage: Bacteria; Pseudomonadati; Pseudomonadota; Gammaproteobacteria; Oceanospirillales; Halomonadaceae. The record is from RNAcentral.
CCUACGGGUGGCUGCAGUGGGGAAUAUUGGACAAUGGGCGAAAGCCUGAUCCAGCCAUGCCGCGUGUGUGAAGAAGGCCUUCGGGUUGUAAAGCACUUUCAGUGGGGAAGAAAGCCUUGGGGCUAAUACCCUCGAGGAAGGACAUCACCCACAGAAGAAGCACCGGCUAACUCCGUGCCAGCAGCCGCGGUAAUACGGAGGGUGCGAGCGUUAAUCGGAUUACUGGGCGUAAAGCGCGCGUAGGCGGUCUGAUAAGCCGGUUGUGAAAGCCCCGGGCUCAACCUGGGAACGGCAUCCGGAACUGUCAGGCUAGAGUGCAGGAGAGGAAGGUAGAAUUCCCGGUGUAGCGGUGAAAUGCGUAGAGAUCGGGAGGAAUACCAGUGGCGAAGGCGGCCUUCUGGACUGACACUGACGCUGAGGUGCGAAAGCGUGGGUAGCAAACAGGAUUAGAUACCCUGGUAGUC